GGAAGGAAGAGCUCUAUAAUCAUGGGAUGACUUAACAACAUACAUUGUGAUUUUUCCUGUUUCCGUCCAAAUUAUAUAUAAAAUAACAUAUGCAUAUAAAUUUCUACUCUUAUGCAAUCAAAUUGUAAUUGUAUCCACAACUUAGUAAUUGUUCCAAAUCCAACUAGGAUGUACUUAGGGUCUGUGAUUCAGAUCUUCAAAGGGACAACAAAA
Molecule: unclassified non-coding RNA, 213 nt
Filed under: Hevea brasiliensis (rubber tree)
Lineage: Eukaryota; Viridiplantae; Streptophyta; Magnoliopsida; Malpighiales; Euphorbiaceae
Source: RNAcentral